Molecule: long non-coding RNA, 467 nt
Organism: Telopea speciosissima
Lineage: Eukaryota; Viridiplantae; Streptophyta; Magnoliopsida; Proteales; Proteaceae
Exons: 3
Source: RefSeq, a predicted model, not a curated record
UUUUGUCAAUUGAUCGAUCAGGUUAAGCUGUCUCGUCCCAAUGCAAGACUCCGGUUACUUGAUGUUUCCAAUCACAAGAUGUCUGUGGUAUGUAUUUCACUAUUCGACUUCUAAUUGCUUUUAGUGGAUUAACAAUGAUCCAUUUGGCCCAACAUAGUACUACCAAAAAUUAAAAUUUGUUUAACUGGGAGUGUUGAACAAAGAUUCCCAAGUUAAGUAGCUGAUGCAGAUUAAUCACAGAAGUGGUCUUAUUUUAGUGAAAAUAAGCUUUGGGUUGGGUUCUAUAUGUGUUUGGUGGGCCUUUGAUCCAAGGGGUUUUAAUUGUAUUUGACCAUUCUAAUGGGCCUAUAAUAUGAGCUGUGAGGUAGAAAUACAGGAUUAGUUGGGGUCUUGGUAGUUGUUUUCUAUUUCACUUCUUAUUUAUUAUUUGAUCUUAUUGUUUAACUGGAAUAGGUCUGAUGUUAGCA